GUGAGGAAUUUUCCGCAAUGGGCGAAAGCCUGACGGAGCAAUGCCGCGUGAAGGAUGAAGGCCUAUGGGUUGUAAACUUCUUUUCUCAGAAAAGAAUUAUGACGGUAUCUGAGGAAUAAGCAUCGGCUAACUCUGUGCCAGCAGCCGCGGUAAGACAGCGGAUGCAAGCGUUAUCCGGAAUGAUUGGGCGUAAAGCGUCUGUAGGUUGUUUAAAAAGUAUUCUGUCAAAGAUUAGGGCUUAACCCUAGAAAGGCAGAAUAAACUUUUAAGCUAGAGUUUGGUAGAGGCAGAGGGAAUUCCCGGUGGAGCGGUGAAAUGCGUAGAUAUCGGGAGGAACACCAAAGGCGAAGGCACUCUGCUGGGCCAAUACUAACACUGAGAGACGAAAGCGAGGGGAGCAAAUGGGAUUAGAUACCCGAGUAGUCC
RNAcentral lists this ribosomal RNA (426 nucleotides) under uncultured bacterium. RNAcentral's name for it is "partial 16S ribosomal RNA". It matches the Rfam family "Bacterial small subunit ribosomal RNA", at positions 354 to 796 of the family's 1533-position model. The record is from RNAcentral.